CCCCAUAGUUGAUCUAUCUGUCGAAAGAUCGAAGGCAGCAGGUGCCAAUCUCCCGAGUCUUUCAAGUAGUGCGAAUUCCAAUCUGCCCAUUCGUUGUCCAAGCCCGGGAUGUGUUCAGCCGUAACCGCCACCGCGUUGUGGAGGCAAAACUGCCAGAAGUCCUUCGCCAGGUUCGCCAGUUGUUUUGAUUUUGUGCCACCUAGGUGAUUUAUAUAUCUGACCGCGGACACAUUGUCGAUGCGCAGAAGGACACAGCAGUUUCCCAGAGUUGGAGACAGGCUGCGAAUGGCGAAUGAUCCUGCCAGCAAUCUACACAUAAACUUUGAGACAGUUUAUGUGUAGUUUCGAUUCGAUUUCGGACCAUCUGCCACCUGUGGAGA
Molecule: non-coding RNA, 380 nt
Organism: Pelobates cultripes (western spadefoot toad)
Lineage: Eukaryota; Metazoa; Chordata; Amphibia; Anura; Pelobatidae
Source: the annotation of a GenBank genome assembly